AUUGGCCUCCAAAUUAACUCUCUAUAAAGCGGUACAAAGAAGGAAAAAAACUCGGUAAAAGCAGAGAUAGUAACUGGCUAUGGCUUUUCAAGCUCCAUUGUUAGUAAUUAGUCUUUUGAUCUUCUUGGCCAAUUUUUGGGCUAGGACUGAGUUUUCUCUGGCUGCAAAUGUGCCAUUUCUACUCCAUUUAAUCGUACCAUAUUUCCAUCUGAUUUUCUUUUUGGAGCUUCCACUUCUGCCUAUCAGUACGAAGGUGCAUGGAAUGAAGAUGGCAAAGGACCAAGUAUUUGGGAUACUUUUGCCCACACUUAUCCUGGUCUAUAUCUCCUCUUCCAUGCUCUCACGCACAUUAAUUUUAAUGCAUCCCAUUUUCACUUAAUAAUACUACUGCCUUUAUCUAAUCCUUAAUUUAUUCUUAGUCA
Lycium ferocissimum is the source of this 422-nucleotide long non-coding RNA. RefSeq lists it as uncharacterized. The transcript has 2 exons. The record is from RefSeq and is a predicted model, not a curated record. NCBI's taxonomy places the organism in Eukaryota, Viridiplantae, Streptophyta, Magnoliopsida, Solanales, Solanaceae.